UACGUAGGGGGCAAGCGUUGUCCGGAAUCAUUGGGCGUAAAGCGCGUGUAGGCGGCUGGGUAAGUCCGCUCUGAAAGCCCGGGGCUCAACCCCGGGAGGCGGGUGGAUACUGCUCAGCUCGAGUCCGGAAGAGGAGUGUGGAAUUCCUGGUGUAGCGGUGAAAUGCGCAGAUAUCAGGAGGAACACCAAUGGCGAAGGCAGCACCUCGUGGGA
RNAcentral lists this ribosomal RNA (213 nucleotides) under uncultured bacterium. Its description in RNAcentral is "partial 16S ribosomal RNA". It matches the Rfam family "Bacterial small subunit ribosomal RNA", at positions 524 to 739 of the family's 1533-position model. The record is from RNAcentral.